This 5257-nucleotide long non-coding RNA is filed under the name Papio anubis (olive baboon). RNAcentral's name for it is "lncRNA (ENSPANG00000043914.1)". Lineage: Eukaryota; Metazoa; Chordata; Mammalia; Primates; Cercopithecidae. The record is from RNAcentral.
AUUCCCACAUUGUUGUUAUGGCUCAGAAAAGUCCUAGUCUCCACUUUGGAAUUGUCCCAUGGAUCCAUAGCACAGGCUUGUGGAUUUGGGGAGUGUAGCCAAAUCUUUGCCUUUUCAAGAUGGAUUAUGAUUUUCCAAAACAGUUUGAAAACCCUGUCUGCCCUUAAACUGGGCAAUUACUUGGGGAAAUAUUUUCGGAUGUAAGUGGAAUGUGGCUGGAAAGAUCAGAGACUAAUGGUCUCUCUGGUCUCUCAGUGCUGGUAAACAACUCCCAGCGAUGCUGCAAACGAGGCUCGGCUUAAGAUCUGCAGGGCUGCAUCUUUGGAAUAACUGAACAGUCUCUGCAGGAGACUAUUAGGGGGGCCAGCACUCGUUGCUAUGUAUUAACUUGCAUACGUUUGCAGAAAAAAUUUAGAUCUUUAAAUACUGAUGGAGCAUUUACCCCAUGGAAGUCGCUCAGCUAGAAAACGGAGAAAAUGCAGCACUGUCCCUGCCUGCCUUCAAGGAGCUCACGAAAUUAAUCUCUUCACCAUUGUAUCUUGCAUAUAUUUAUUUUUGGGUUCACGUAUUUCAAUACUGGCAUCCAGAAGAUGCACAGGAAACAACUCUGUUCCAAUGCAUCACCAUUUUCAUAAUGAGUGGGGAGAGGCCCCGAGGGUAAGAGGUCGACUUUUGGACAAGAGGAAGAUGAAUCUGUUCUCCUUGUCCCUCUGCUGCCUGAAUCACCUGAAGCAGACAGACCUGGACUUUGUUACAGACUAUGAGUUUGGCUGGGAAUUCAGCUGCACGUGAUGGAUCAUGCUUACCUUGCCUUCCCCCACCUGCAUGCCUCCCCUUGAAGAAGAUAAGCAUCUUUGGGAGCGAGAAUUUUUAAAUGAGAUUGUUUAUGCAUCAAGGAGUAAGUAUUAAUAGCUAAAGUGCAUUCAUAUGGUGAUUGUUUUCUGGUGAUGAGAAUGGGAAAUGUUAUUUCUCUAUUAAAUGAUGGAAGCCACUGGAUUAUGCAUUACAUGCUGAUGUGCCAGCUCUGUUUCUCUCUAUUCACAGUGAUGCUUUGAGUCUCAUUUUCAAACUAGACACCUCUGUAAAUUGACCUGAAUGUUCUGUGUGUACACGGGCAUUGACGCAGAGGGAAAACAGCGGUUGCUCAGCAAGCACGUUUCUUCUACUCUGGGAUCUGCAGUACAGGCAGUACUCUCUGCCAAGGUACGUUCUGGAGUCCUGUGCUUUGCCCAAGGUCCCCACCCUAUCAGGGACAUGGCAAGUGCAUCCAGGAAGGGGAGGGUCUGCAAAGUGAGUCACAGGGGCAACAGUGGAAGAAACCAGGGGUGUUUAGUACAAAGAGGCAAAAACUAGGGUACAUGUGAAAGUUGUCUUCAAAUACUUGAAUAAAGAAGUUCUGUACAGGAGGUUGACACUUGCUCUGUGCUACCCUGGAACACAAAACUAGAAUCAAAAGAGAGAUGAUUUCUGGUUCCACAAAAUAAUACAAUUUUCCUUUUUUUGCAGCAUCUAACUAUUCAUAAAGUCCUUUCAAAAACAUUGUCACCAGAAAGUAAUCUCCAUGACGAGAGGAGGUUCGCCUGAUUUUUGUUUUUCUUUUAGUAUCCACUGUUCCUGUGAUAGUGCUUGGCACAUAGGAACUGCUCAAUUCAUAUUGGCUGAAUAAAUGAAUGAAUGAGUUGGUUUCUAUGAGGGUUGAUGUGAUAAGCCCAUUUUGUGGAUGACAAAAAUUGAGAAGUUUAGAUAUGUAAAGUGGUUUCCUAAGCUCACCUAUGCUCCUGAACUAUCCUGAACCCAGGCCGCCUAAUAAGAGUCUACUGGCUUACUCAAAGGCUUAAUGAGCUUAGCUUUCUAUCAUAAAUUGGGCCAUCUCCAGUGGUAGUUGGCGAGCUCCUCAUCAGAUUUCGAACAGGCUUAUUUGCACCUCUGCUGCUGUUAUGACCCUGCAUCAGCUGGACAGUCAAGUUUUGAGGGGCUGGAUGAAUCACAGAUUGGCUGGCUUUCUUACUGCUGAGGCGAUUAAAAACAGCUUUUCACAUUUCAUUUUCUCCGUGUCUCCUCUCACCUCCCCUCCCUUUCUGUGUAUCUUCCAUUCUUCCCAGAUCUCUGAAAUGCCUCUGUCACACAGUUCCUCUCUCUCUCUCCUUGCCCCUCCAGUUGGGAGAAAAGCUGUUGUAUUACCCUGUUCACACAUUGCUAUAUAUAAAUACCUGAGACUAGGUAACUUAUAAAGAAAAGAGGUUUAAUUGGCUCAUGAUUCUGCAAGCUGUACAGGAAGCAUGGCUGGGGAGGCCUCAGGAAACUUACACUCAUGGCAGAAGGCAAAGCAGAGGAAGGCACAUCUUCGCAUGGCCAGAGCAGAAGGAAGAGAGAGAAGGGGGAAGUGUUACACACUUUUAAACAACCAGAUCUCAUGAGAACUCACUCACUAUCAUGAGAACAGCAAGGAGGAAAUCUGCCCCCAUCAUCCAAUCACUUCCCACCAGGUCCCACCUCCAACACUGGGGAUUACAAUUUGACAUGAGAUUUGGGUGGGGACACAGACCUAAACCAUAUCAGCUAUGUUGACUAAUCACUAAAACUUUAGCAAGCAGUAGUUUAACUCAUGACUUUCUCAGAGUUAUUUGCUUAUUUAAAGCACUGUAGAGAGAGCCCCAAAGGAAAAAUCUGUAAUGGUUGAGUUCCAGGCACCAUGAACCUUGGAGAAUGAACUCAUGUUGGAGGUGGAAGAGUGAUAUAAGAACCCUUCCAAAUGGCCCUGAAAUCACAGCAAUCAGACAACCCCACACCUCAUUUUUAAAAAGCCCACUCCCUUGAGGGCCUUCUUCCCUCUUGCCCACCUGGUUACAUCAUCCUACCCCAUAGCUUGAUCCCCAGUGUACCCAUCUAGACCUCCAGCUUUCUUACAAAGCUUAAAAAAACUUCCCUUGGUGGAGUGGUGAUGAGUAUGUUUUAGUGUAGAAAGAAACCAGAAAUAGAAAUUACUAAACACAAAUAUUUUAAAAAAUGAUUAAAGGUGUGGGGACUUUGUAGGUGUGAGAGAAAACAAAUCCAUGGUACUCCCAUUCCCAUUAGCAUCUCCAGAAAGCCUCAUUCACAUAGAGGCUGUCUAUGACUUGAAGGCCUCAUACCUGCUCACCUGGCCUUCAUCACUCACGCCAGGCACCACAGCUCUGGAGAGCCUCUUUCUCCAGUCGUAGGAGUCCAGGAAACCACACUCCUUUCCUUCUCAGUCAACGGCAUGGUCUCCAAAGAAUACGAAACGAUGGGAAUUUUGAUAAGCACCCAACAACAAGAAAAUAGCCAAUGGGCUCACUAAUAAGAAAGCAAGCCUUCUCCAGAAAAAUCUGUCUGCUUUACUUUCCCCUUAUCAAUAUUGCUCUGAGAGUUAAUUUGUCACUGUAUAGCCAGAAAGCUCACCCCCGUCUUUUUUAAUGUUUCACGCUAGGUUUGCCCAAUAAGAGUAAUAAAAAUAAUGACACCAUUAUUCCUCUUCUCUCUUUGUUUUUAGUGCAUCACUUGCAGAUUUGAAUAAUGAAUUAUGCUUACAUUAUCUGUACUUUCUUGCUCUUGACUUCCUCUACUGGCUAAAAGUGAAGCUAUUAUCCAAUUGUCAAAGACUGAGUAGCCUUCCCUGGCACAGUCAGUGAUCUUGUGAUGUAGAUACACUCUGGGGCAAAAUUAUCACAAGUACAAUUUCAAGCUAUAUAAGAGAAAAUUACCAGCCAGUGUGGAACUGAAUCCAGAACCUGGUGAAAUAUUAAAUAUUUCAUUAGUAAUCCUUUUGGAACAAAAAUAAGCAGACAACAGAAUUAGUUAUGAGUUGGGCAUAAAAGGCUAAUUAAUGUUAUUGUCUUUGGUUGAUUGACUUCAAGGCUAUUAAAUCAUUAUUUUAUUGUCUGAAUCUCUGCCUCACUCAGGCUAAAGAAGCCAUUUUAUCAGAAAAACUGUGUUUUUUCUUUCUUUCUUUUUUUUUUUAAACAAACAAACAAACAAAAACCAAAAAACUUCUGCUGCUUCUAAGGAGACUCAUUUGUGUGCCUGAACUUGGCUUCUUAUACAGUUGAGUUUGCAUCCCUGAAUAGAUCGUCCAGUAAAUUUUAGAUGAUAUAAAAUAUACAUCUGCCAUCAAGGAUAGAUUGAAAGUGGAUGGGACAACCACCCAGAGAGGUCAGCAACCACAUCUGGAAGGUACUGCAGAGGUCAUGUUGUCCAACACUUUGCACCAACGGGUGAGUGUACUGUAUACUUUUCAUCUACUUCGUCAUCUUCGUCGCCUUCAUCUCCUUCUGCCUCUUACAGAUUUCUGGCUCCAUGUUCCAUUCUAUAAUCCACCAUCCACAGAACCAAGCAAAAUAAUUCUCUGCCCACCUUAAACAAGCUCAUGCAAAAAUAUAUUAGAACCUAUUUGUGAUGACUGUCUUCAAGUAUUCACUCCCAAUUCCACAGGUGCCACUUAGUGAGGACUCAUGUUGAGGACCACGUGUCAACCUAAGCAUCCAAAGGAGAUUCUCGCAUCUUAGCCUGGGCCUGGUGUAUGACACCUCCAAGUGCAUUGGAAAAAAGGCUCCUUCUCUCUGUGCCAUUGCAGCCCACCACCAAUGAAUGUAUCCAGGCAAACAAAGUACAGAGUUAGAUUUCAGCACAACUUGUUGGCUUGACCAGACACACGUGAAUAGAGGACAACCUGAACCACCAUACACAGUGACCCAGGAUGGACUGUCUUUUGCUAGAGAUAACUCUCAACAAAGAUCUAAAGUGAGCAAAGCUCAUCUCAAGGAAUUUCCAUAUUUGCCUUCUUUUCCUUUCCUUUCCUUCUCUGACCAGCCUAUCUGUGCAGAUGCUAGAACUUAUUUUUCAGUCAGUAACUAAGAAGUACUCAAGGCUACUGGAUUAUGCAUGCCAUGCUGAUGUGCCAGCUCUGUUUCUCUCUACUCACAGUGAUGCCUGGAGCCUCAUUUUCAAUCUAGACACCUCUGUAAAUUGACCUGAAUGUUCUGUGUGUACACGGACACAGAGGAAAAACAGUGGUUGCUCAGAAAGCAUGUUUCUUUUUUAGGAUACCCUGAAAUCACAUCUUAUUAUAACAGGGAUUCCUUCAAAACAAGAAGACUUUGAAAUGCAAAGGGAUAAAUUUAAAUAGUGUAAUUCAGGUACCCCAUAAGGCAACGAAGGCUUUUUCAUGUAUUACUGAUUAAUCUUCUGUUGUCUGCCUUUGGAAGGUCCAUGGAAUAGGCAAAGCUCCUCUACCCUGGAU